This 70-nucleotide transfer RNA is filed under the name Ovis aries (sheep). It matches the Rfam family "tRNA". Rfam says of the family: Transfer RNA (tRNA) molecules are approximately 80 nucleotides in length. Their secondary structure includes four short double-helical elements and three loops (D, anti-codon, and T loops). The record is from Rfam by way of RNAcentral. Lineage: Eukaryota; Metazoa; Chordata; Mammalia; Artiodactyla; Bovidae.
UCCCUUGUAGCUCAGUCAAUAGAAUCUGCCUGCAAUGCAGGAGACCUGGGUUCAAUUCCUGGCUUAGGAA